Rhododendron vialii is the source of this 1800-nucleotide long non-coding RNA. RefSeq lists it as uncharacterized. Lineage: Eukaryota; Viridiplantae; Streptophyta; Magnoliopsida; Ericales; Ericaceae. The transcript has 5 exons. The record is from RefSeq and is a predicted model, not a curated record.
UAGGUCCGUUCUCUCUCUCUCUCCAAGUCGAUGACUUUUCCCUCUCUUGCCUUCCUCUCUCCCUUCUUUCUGUCCACUCCCUCUCUGUCCCUCCGACCCACUACCACGACACUGCACCAUCGCAACGCCUCUCUUUUCCAUCAGCGGCACCACCACCAGGUUUGUCUCUCUCUCUCUCUCUCUCUCUCUCUCUCUCUCUCUCUCUCUCCCUCCGAGUGAAGAUGGUGAUCCCAUCUGUCCCUCUCCCUCAGACUCUAUCUCUUUCUCGCGAUCUUAAAUCGACAUCCAUCCAUAUAUGAAAACCUUAAAUCGACUUCCAUCCAUACAUCAAAACCCUAAAUCGACCUCCAUGUAGACCUCAAAACCCUAAAUCAACUUCCACUGUAACUACUGAUGUUCAAAACCCUAGCCUAUCGAUGACUAAAACUCUCAAUCAACCCUAAAUGCUGUAUCUCAAAUGGGUUUUGUUAAAAUUCACGGGCCUUGUUCUUAUUUUUCUAUAAAUACAGUGAAUUGGGCAUAAGAAUAUGUUUUAUGAGCUGUUUCCUUGGUCUUGGAAGAAUUAAUGAGUUUUGGCUUAUUUUUUGAUUUUUCUGUACAGUAAAUAACCGAGCUUGGUAAUCCUAAAGGUAGAAAAAACACUUGAUUUGGUCUCCCAUAUUUCCAGGUUGUACACAUUUUACCGUGCCCGUUUGCUCAACAUGUUUGGAUUGCCAGGAACUAUAAGAAUUGACAGGUUCUUAGUUUCUCAAGAAUGGUUGGUCAAUUUUUCAUCCAACCACAUCUGGUAUCUCUAUAUAUUGUGCUGCUACACAUGAAGAUUGAAGAAUAUUAUGUUGGGUCGGUUGUUGAUCAAGAAUGAGAAUGAAGUCUUAAUGACAUGGUCCAAAUUGUGUUGUAUGCAGUAGAAGAUGGGGACUCUGAUCCUUUGAUACUUGCCUGAUCUGCUGAUAUAAUGUCAAUGACACUACUGGUCCAAGCACUCUGAAGAACUUUAUGUGCUUGUCUAGGCCUUGGUUUCCUUGAAGACGCAAAUGAUGGAGCUCUCGACGCAAAUGGAGGGAUCUUCUACUGAAUAUCCACGUGCAUAGAUGAGGAUAUCUUUGUAAAAGUUAUGGGUCCUAAGCAACCUGGUCGUGUUCGAACAUUUGGAUUAGGCCCUUCUAUCAAAGAUGUCUUUGCAGGUGGAUAUCCGCGAUCACAAGAGGAAACCCAUAUAUUUCAAGCACAAAUGCAAGAGUAGUUUCAAUUGUACCGGGUCCAAUUUGAGACAAAAAUGAAAAGAGAUGAUGGAGACGCAAAUUGAGGUUAUGCGUUCGUAAAUGGAUGCUACUAUUCAAGCACAAGCCGCUACCAUUCAAGCUUAGCAAAUAAGGAUGGAGCAUUUGGAGUCUCAAUUGGUGACCAGGGGAGGGCCUGCUGCACGUGAGGCUGCUUGGGGUCACCACCCAAUGUCACGACCGCAACAAAACUCGCACGAGUUUACCUCCUCCUCAAGUCACCAAAAGGUCGCCCAAUCAAAGACAAAGAACAAGAACAAGAACAAAAGCAAAAGGAGGCAUCAUAUAUAAACUGCCGCUUUUUUUUUUUUUGGUUUUGUUUGUGUCUUGUUUCUUUUGUGUCCUGUUUUUUUUUUUUUUUGGAGUCUUGUGUACUCUAUUAGUUUGGAGUCCUGAGUCUUGUGUCCUGUGUCAGUUUGGCAUCUUGUGUACUAGUGUGGAUGGUGUUUCCUAGUUUUUGGAGGACUAAGGGAUCUAGAUUUUGUUGCUGAUGCAAUUUGUGCUGUUGUAUUAUUAUUCU